GCCUGUGUGGUGGAGUGGUUUAAGUACUGGACUAUGACUCUGGAGACCAAGGUUCAAAUUCUGGCUCUGCCA
This is a non-coding RNA of Phrynosoma platyrhinos (Desert horned lizard), 72 nucleotides long. Lineage: Eukaryota; Metazoa; Chordata; Lepidosauria; Squamata; Phrynosomatidae. The record is from the annotation of a GenBank genome assembly.